AGAAUCAACGCUGGCGGCGUGCCUAACACAUGCAAGUCGAACGCGAAAGUCCCGCAAGGGAUAAGUAGAGUGGCAAACGGGUGAGUAACACGUGGGUGACCUGCCUUCGAGUGGGGGAUAACGUCCCGAAAGGGACGCUAAUACCGCAUGACAUCCUGUCUUUGGAAAGACGGAGAUCAAAAGCGUGGGGAUCGCAAGACCUGGCGCUUGAAGGACGGGGCCCGCGCCUGAUUAGCUAGUUGGUGGGGUAACGGCCUACCGAAGGCGACGAUCAGUA
RNAcentral lists this ribosomal RNA (277 nucleotides) under uncultured bacterium. RNAcentral describes it as "partial small subunit ribosomal RNA". It matches the Rfam family "Bacterial small subunit ribosomal RNA", at positions 26 to 285 of the family's 1533-position model. The record is from RNAcentral.